UAGGGAAUCUUCCGCAAUGGGCGAAAGCCUGACGGAGCAACGCCGCGUGAGUGAUGAAGGUCUUCGGAUCGUAAAACUCUGUUAUUAGGGAAGCACUAAUGUGUAAGUAACUAUGCACGUCUUGACGGUACCUAAUCAGAAUGCCUCGGCUAACUACGUGCCAGCAGCCGUGGUAAUACGUAGGUGGCAAGCGUUAUCCGGAAUUAUUGGGCGUAAAGCGCGCGUAGGCGGUUUUUUAAGUCUGAUGUGAAAGCCCACAGCUCAACCGUGGAGGGUCAUUAGAAACUGGAAAACUUGAUUGCAGAAGAUGAAAUUGGAAUUCCAUAUGUAGCAGUGAAAUGCGCAGAGAUAUGGAGGAACACCAGUGGCGAAGGCGACUUUCUGAUCUGUAACUGACGCUGAUGUGCGAAAGCGUGGGGAUCAAACAGG
This 429-nucleotide ribosomal RNA is filed under the name Actinomycetes bacterium. Its description in RNAcentral is "Actinobacteria bacterium partial 16S ribosomal RNA". It matches the Rfam family "Bacterial small subunit ribosomal RNA", at positions 355 to 776 of the family's 1533-position model. Lineage: Bacteria; Bacillati; Actinomycetota; Actinomycetes. The record is from RNAcentral.